AGGAUGAACGCUAGCUAUAGGCUUACACAUGCAAGUCGAGGGGAAACNGGCAUUAUGUGCUUGCACAUUUUGGACGUCGACCGGCGCACGGGUGAGUAUCGCGUAUCCAACCUUCCCUCCACUCGGGGAUACCCCGUUGAAAGACGGCCUAAUACCCGAUGUUGUCCACAUAUGGCAUCUGACGUGGACCAAAGAUUCAUCGGUGGAGGAUGGGGGUGCGUCUGAUUAGCUUGUUGGUGCGGGUAACGGCCCACCAAGGCGACGAUCAGUAGGGGUUCUGAGAGGAAGGUCCCCCACAUUGGAACUGAGACACUGUCCAAACUCCUACGGGAGGCAGCAGUGAGGAAUAUUGGUCAAUGGACGGAAGUCUGAACCAGCCAAGUAGCGUGCAGGAUUGACGGCCCUAUGGGUUGUAAACUGCUUUUGUUGGGGAGUACAGUGAGGCACGCGUGCCUUUGGGCAUAUACCCUUCGAAUAAGGACCGGCUAAUUCC
Molecule: ribosomal RNA, 493 nt
Filed under: uncultured Bacteroidota bacterium
Lineage: Bacteria; Pseudomonadati; Bacteroidota
Description: bacterial SSU rRNA
Rfam family: Bacterial small subunit ribosomal RNA
Source: RNAcentral